CUUUUUAUUAUGCACAGAUAAAAGAUUUAAAACUGUGGUUAUCAAAACUAUACAUCUAAGCAUCUUCACAAAAUAGCUGACACACUGAACAGAGAAAAGAAUACAACAGGGGUGUUCAAACUGGCCACAGGGAUUUUAAGGGUACUCUUUUUACCCUCAUAGAUGAUGAAAACCAGCAACAAAAUCAGGCUCAUUCAGGAAAAACCAGAAGAGAGAAGUAUUGUAUUUGGAAACUGAUAAUAGUCCUUUUCAGAAAAACAUCUGUCAGUUUCAUGAACAACCCCCAGAUAAAACAAACAUGAAAAAAAUCACAUAGGACUCACCCAACACACUGUGCUCUGUUAACACAACCAGCAGUACAAUCAUCAUUCAAACCAUGAGGUAGUUACAGUACAAAAAGACUGGCACGCGUGUGAGCACCCCACACACACUCACAAUCAUGCCCACUAAGAACACAAGCAGGAAAUGGGUUUACAAUCUUAUUACAAGGCAAAGAAAAAAACCCAUUUUUUUUGUUUAGAAAAUGCUAUAGAAACAGUUUAGACAGAAGAAAUCUCUGGCUUUUUAAAAUACAGAGUAACAGCUGGUAAACACCACAUGGUGAAAAGCUAUAGCGUAUUAUACAGACAAUCUGCCUUGGAGUUUGGGGCAUUUUAACAACAGCUUCAGCAUCAAACAAACAACAAAAUGGCCUCUGCAAAUUAAGGGUGUAGCCUGCAGAAAUAACAAAAGACUGCAGAUACAAGAGUUCAGCUGAAAUACAACAAUACUUUUAAAGAAACUUGUAGUACACAUUAUAAAAGUAGAGCUUGUACUUUGUAUUAAAACUGUAAAGUGUGAAGCAAUUAGAAAUACUGUAAUGAGAAGCUAGGGAGAAAAUACCUUAUUUUUUUCAUGUUCAUUUUUUAGAAACAUUUCAGAAAUACUUAACGACAUUCACUCUCCAAUAUGAGAUUAGGUUUUAUCGACACAGAUUUCUUGAUCUGAAUAAUAAUUCUGACAAUGAGACCCAAACAAAUAAAAGGUGAUUUUUUUCCUCUCUCUCUCUUUUAAAAAGAUCUUUUGGUUUGCAUCUAUAAAUUUGUAAAUUAAUUUUAAAUUAUUUAUAAAAUCAUUGGCAAUGUAGCAUCUCUCUUAAAAAUAUAUAUUUAAAUAUAUUACAGAAGGUUUUAAUCCUGUCCUUCUAAGACAUCAAUCUUUUAAUAUCUCCUAAUAGCUAAUUUUCUUUUUAACACGAUGGAAAAGAUUUUUUAAAAAAGCAAAGGACUGAUCGAAAGAAUUCACAGUAGCUGAAAUUAAACAUUUCAUAUGGAGUAACUUAAAUUUAUCUAAAACACUUAAAUAUAUCUUUAUACACAAAUUUUGUAGUAAAAUAUAGCUAUAAGUGACUUAAAGACUCUAGUCUUCUUUGAAGACAUCUUUAAACUUUUUUAUACAUAGAAUAUGCUGAAACAAUACAUUCCACCGAAGGUUAGGCAAAGCGCAAUAUUUUCAAACACAGGUAGCGUAAUCUAGGUCCUCCACUCUGAUACCCUUCUGUUAAAAAAAAAUUAAAGGAAAAAAAUUCUCUAAACUCAUGUCUUCUUCGUUUGUAUAUGGAAAUCUGGAAAUUUUUCAGUAGAUCAAUGUAGAUAGCCUGGAAAUCUCAGCCCUAAAGUAAUCUGUUUUAGUUAAAAUGUUCCUUAUUGAAAAAAAAAAAUGUUCCUUAUUGAAUGUGUAUAUCUAUCAGGUAAGUCAUAUUAUUACUCAACGAUUUGGUAAAAAUGAUUGUCAAUUUCCACAUACUUGUUUCCCAUGUAGACACUGCCCUAAGGUUUUAAGCUUCAUCAGGAUUACCUACUGAGGUUCCAUUCACAGACAACCAGGCAUAACUUCCUUAUUUUAAGGGCAGUGGGAUUUGCUUAUGAAUAUUUUGGGGGUAGAAUCUAUCUUGUUCUACUUAUGGAAUUCUAAGUUGUUUGGGGGAAAUUCUGGAAAAAGAAUAAUUUGCAAUGAAGCUAUCUUCAGCAGUAAAAUAAUUUAGCAUGAUAAUUCCCCUCUGGCAUUCUUUUUUUUUUUUUUUUUAACAAGGAGGUAUCACUGAGCUUAUUUUAGCUGCGAAGUGGCAUCAUAUUAUUCCAUUUAAUGAAAUUCACCUCAAGCCCUUUUUGACAUAUUAAAUAUAUGGGAUAUAUUUAAGGCAAGAGAAGUAAGGCAAUCCAAACGAGUGCCCUUUUCCAAUCUCAGCACUGUCUUGGUGGAAUUGGUGACACUAUUCAGAUAACCAACUGGAGACCGACAGGAUUUGCCAUGCAUUUGCAUCUUGCUAGAGUUUGGUUUUUAUGAAAGGGCCUAUUUUUUUUUAAGUUGACAUAUUUUGAGUGGAAACACUCACCCUACCAAAUAUACUUAAGUUGCAACUCUAAAAGCAUAAGGACAUUUUCAAAUUUUCUCUUCUUCAACUGAGAAAAUGAAUGUGCCAGGUGACAUAUUAUAUACUUGUACUUGCAUACACAUAAAAAUAUAUCACUGUGCAAAUUCGUCCUUGAUUUUAUAACUGAAUUUCACCUCAAAUUAUACAUUAAUUUGUCAGAACAAAAUAUUAGGAAUGGGCACAAAUCUGUGGUUCCUGAUUUUGGUCAUUUUCAAUUUCUGUAGGCCUGUAAGAAAUACAAAAUUUGCAUUAAGACAUUUUGCAGUGGUGUAUGCAAGUAUGGGAAGAAACAGGAAGCUGAUAAGGUCAUCAGCAUUGGUUUUGGCCCAGGGCACAAGAAAGGAAUGUUGCCUUAACACUUGUCAGGGUGCAGUCCCUGAGGGCAGCACCCAUCAAGGGACACAUCAGACCCCACAGGUUGUGGCAGCAAGGUCAGAAGUGUGCAUCCAGACGAAGGUGCAAAUUAGACAGGAGGAUCGCUUAGAAAGCCUCAAAGCAUUUCUUGUUUUACAUCUUGGUUCAGAUAUAAAGAAUCUUUGGCCACAUCUCCUCACUGGUUCUACUAUCUGGCUAUUAACCCUUUACCAACUCCUUGAGUCUGGGUAAAACUCAGGGCCCCAAAUUAUGGAUGUUCUCACCUGGACAAAGCAGCAUUUUAAAAACUGGCAUGUGUUUCACAUUGAAAACCCCCAAGCCUGUGAGGGGCUGGUGGAGAAGACCACCAUUUUAGCUUUCUCACAUGAAUUCUAGUGUGGUACAGAAGCCCAGGGUCAUGUUUAUACUAGCCCUGGGUGUGGGGUGAAUACAAUGGGUGAUCUUUAUACUGAAAUUCACUGUCUUUACAAGGGAACCAAAAUCCAGCCCUCUGAGUCUGGACACGAGGCUCAGCCAUUGGUCCUGCCCUUGGCAGUAGCUGAGCUGAGCUGGGCUGGGCUGGGCUGGGUUGGGCUAGGCUGUGCUGCUGCUGGAGCAAGGCGUGCUCUGCGUGCUGCCGAUGCUGUGGGCAGCACUGCUGUUUUCCGAGGCUGGCGGGGAGGUGGGGACUUGCUGCCUUCCUGCUGUCUCCCCUGCAGUUAAUAAAGAAAAGGCAGAGUCAGAGAAAGACGCAUAUUAUGUAUGUGCAUUCCUGAAAAGAUCAUUUAUUCCGCAUUUGCCAUUUUAACUGAUAUUUUUCUCAACCAGGGCAGAAGCAACUAGACUAGGUCCUAGAUGGCUGGAAUACCUUCUAAAAUAAGGUUUUGCUAUUUGUUGUUUUACUUUUAAAGCAUCAUGAAUGGGAAAAAGAAGACAGCUGACUGACAGGCAGCUCUAGUGGCUAAGAC
RNAcentral lists this long non-coding RNA (3735 nucleotides) under Pan troglodytes (chimpanzee). RNAcentral describes it as "long non-coding RNA NONPTRT000346". The record is from RNAcentral. Lineage: Eukaryota; Metazoa; Chordata; Mammalia; Primates; Hominidae.